AACGAACGCUGGCGGCAGGCCUAACACAUGCAAGUCGAGCGCGCACUUCGGGGUGAGCGGCGGACGGGUGAGUAACGCGUGGGAACGUGCCCUUUUCUACGGAAUAGUCUCGGGAAACUGAGAGUAAUACCGUAUACGCCCUUUGGGGGAAAGAUUUAUCGGAAAAGGAUUGGCCCGCGUUGGAUUAGGUAGUUGGUGGGGUAAUGGCCUACCAAGCCGACGAUGCAUAGCUGGUUUGAGAGGAUGAUCAGCCACACUGGGACUGAGACACGGCCCAGACUCCUACGGGAGGCAGCAGUAGGGAGUCUUAGGCAAGGGGGGCAACUCUGAUCUAGCCAUGCCGCGUGAGUGAUGAAGGCCUUAGGGUUGUAAAGCUCUUUCAGCUGGGAAGAUAAUGACGGUACCAGCAGAAGAAGCCCCGGCUAACUCCGUG
This 433-nucleotide ribosomal RNA is filed under the name uncultured bacterium. RNAcentral's name for it is "partial 16S ribosomal RNA". It matches the Rfam family "Bacterial small subunit ribosomal RNA", at positions 29 to 507 of the family's 1533-position model. The record is from RNAcentral.